AAAAUAAUCCUACCCUUUGUGAAUUUUGUUUGUUUGAAUAAUUUUUUUUUUAAAAAAUUAUUGGAGUCUUUCCCUUUAGAGUUUGCUUUUGAGUUUGUAAAAGAAUUCGAAAACAUCUAAAGGGGAUGGUCAAUAAUUUUUUUUGAAAAAAGACAUUUUUUAAAAUUAAACUUUUUGUAUUCAUUUGUCUAAAAAUUAUUUUUAUAAUAUAAAAACAACUUUUGACAAUGGAUCUCUUGGUUCUCGCAACGAUGAAGAACGCAGCAAAAUGCGAUAAGUAGUGUGAAUUGCAGAAUACGUGAAUCAUCGAAUCUUUGAACGCAUAUUGCACUUUUUUAGUUUACUAAAAAAGUAUGUCUGUUUGAGUAUCAGUAAAAUAUUCUCAUAAAAAUCAUUGUGUAUUUUUAUGGUUAUGAGUGUUUUACAACGAUACAAGUUGUUUCACUUUAAAUUUUUUUUUAAUAUUGAAAUUUUUCUAAUUUUAAUAAUUAAAAUUGGAUAAAAUUUUCCCGUCAAAAGGAAUAACCUAAACAAUUUUAAACGAUUAAUUUUAGCAAAAUUUUCGUAAAAAAGGAAAAUUUUUAUUAAAAUAACUUGAUCUCAAAUCAGAUAAGAGUACCCGCUGAACUUAAGCAUAUCAAUAAGCGGAGGAAAAGAAACUAACAAGGAUUCCCUUAGUAACGGCGAGUGAAGCGGGAAGAGCUCAAAUUUGAAAUCUUCAAGGUUUUACCUUGACGAAUUGUAGUUUAAAGAAGUGUUUUCUGCUGAAGUUUUGGUAAAAGUUCUUUGGAAUAGGACAUCAUAGAGGGUGAGAAUCCCGUAUUUGACCAUUAUUUUCAGCUUUGUGAUACACUUUCAAAGAGUCGGAUUGUUUGGGAAUGCAGUCCAAAUGGGUGGUAAAUUUCAUCUAAAGCUAAAUAUUGGCGAGAGACCGAUAGCGAACAAGUACCGUGAGGGAAAGAUGAAAAGAACUUUGAAAAGAGAGUUAAACAGUACGUGAAAUUGUCAAAAGGGAAGCGUUUGACACCAGUGUUGUUUUCUCGAAAAUCAAUUAAAAAUGGCUCGAUUUUGUAUUGCUGAGACCUUAAAAGCUCACUGUACAUUUUUCGUGUCUUUUUUAAUGCACUUUUCGUUUAACAAGUCAACAUCAGUUUCUUUUGUUGUAAAAGGGUCAUUGGAAGGUGGCUUUCUUUUCGGAGAAAGUGUUUAUAGCCUUUGGCCUCUGCAAUCGGAGAGACUGAGGUCUGCAGCGUAGACUCUUCGGGGUUAGAUACAUUUGUGCUAAGUUAUAGCUUUUUAUAGACAACUUGUUGACUAUAAUUAGUCUUGUAGCUUACUCGCUUAUGCUAUUUUACCUACGCUUAGGAUG
Molecule: unclassified non-coding RNA, 1369 nt
Filed under: uncultured Neocallimastigales
Lineage: Eukaryota; Fungi; Neocallimastigomycota; Neocallimastigomycetes; Neocallimastigales
Description: partial contains internal transcribed spacer 1, 5.8S ribosomal RNA, internal transcribed spacer 2, and large subunit ribosomal RNA
Rfam family: Eukaryotic large subunit ribosomal RNA (bases 596-1369)
Source: RNAcentral